Molecule: ribosomal RNA, 497 nt
Filed under: uncultured bacterium
Lineage: Bacteria
Description: partial 16S ribosomal RNA
Rfam family: Bacterial small subunit ribosomal RNA
Source: RNAcentral
GAUGAACGCUGGCGGCGUGCCUAAUACAUGCAAGUCGAGCGAACAGACGAGGAGCUUGCUCCUCUGACGUUAGCGGCGGACGGGUGAGUAACACGUGGAUAACCUACCUAUAAGACUGGGAUAACUUCGGGAAACCGUAGCUAAUACCGGAUAACAUGUUGAACCGCAGGGUUCAACAGUGAAAGACGGUCUUGCUGUCACUUAUAGAUGGAUCCGCGCCGCAUUAGCUAGUUGGUAAGGUAACGGCUUACCAAGGCAACGAUGCGUAGCCGACCUGAGAGGGGGAUCGGCCACACUGGAACUGAGACACGGUCCAGACUCCUACGGGAGGCAGCAGUAGGGAAUCUUCCGCGAUGGGCGAAAGCCUGACGGAGCAACGCCGCGUGAGUGAAGAAGGUCUUCGGAUCGUAAAACGCUGUUAUUAGGGAAGACCAAAUGUGUAAGUAACUAUGCACGUCUUGACGGUACCUAAUCAGAAAGCCACGGCUAACUACGUG